UUGGCUCCUGGAGGCUGCAUCACCAGGCCUGGCCUAAAAUAAAGCCUUUGCUCCCUAAAUUUUAAUUUCUUGCUUCCUUGGAUUUUAUUCCAGGGUCCAAGCUAUCACAUUUGGGGGCUUGUUCAGGAUGGAAGCAAGACCCCCAACUCAAUUCUGAAUACCUAAAAAUUCCUUCAAGUUGUCUACAUAGAAAAUUGUGUUCUCUAUAAAUCAAGAUCAAAAUCAUGAAUAACCAAAAUACAACUCUGCCACAGCCCUGAUGCCAUCCAUCAGCAUCACGAGUGCUGAAUCCUAACAGCUGACUCAGUUGGCUGCCAAUUCUACUGUUGCGGGCUUCCACCAUCCACCAGCUUGUGCUGGGCACCAUAGUGAGAUCUACACAGUGCUGGUCUCUGUCACCGUCAUCACUGGCUGCUGUUCUUUGGAGCUGCUCAGGGCUGACUGCCCCAAGCACUUAUUGCUCUUUCUUCUAUAGUCACCACUAUAAAUCACAAGCAGAUUUACAAAUUUAUCAGAGUUUACAAUCGGGCUCACGAGAUGGUUAACAUCCCCUCCCUGACCUCACUGACUGUGCGGAGUCCCAGACAGAGCCAACCACGACGAACCAGGCGCUUGGUCAGACGAAAGGGAGAAAGCACAGUUGCUUCUUACUGAC
Molecule: long non-coding RNA, 655 nt
Organism: Cavia porcellus (domestic guinea pig)
Lineage: Eukaryota; Metazoa; Chordata; Mammalia; Rodentia; Caviidae
Exons: 4
Source: RefSeq, a predicted model, not a curated record